RNAcentral lists this transfer RNA (85 nucleotides) under Verrucomicrobiota bacterium. RNAcentral describes it as "Verrucomicrobia bacterium (marine metagenome) tRNA-Leu". It matches the Rfam family "tRNA". Rfam says of the family: Transfer RNA (tRNA) molecules are approximately 80 nucleotides in length. The record is from RNAcentral. Lineage: Bacteria; Pseudomonadati; Verrucomicrobiota.
GCGCGAGUGGCGGAAUUGGCAGACGCGCCAGAUUUAGGAUCUGGUGCCUUAGGGCGUGGAGGUUCAAGUCCUCUCUCGCGUACCA